RNAcentral lists this transfer RNA (79 nucleotides) under Rhodospirillaceae bacterium. Its description in RNAcentral is "tRNA-OTHER". It matches the Rfam family "tRNA". From Rfam's summary of the family: Transfer RNA (tRNA) molecules are approximately 80 nucleotides in length. The record is from RNAcentral. Lineage: Bacteria; Pseudomonadati; Pseudomonadota; Alphaproteobacteria; Rhodospirillales; Rhodospirillaceae.
GGGGCUGUAGCCAAACAAGCAAAGGCGCCGGCCUAGCAAAACCGGCAAUUGCUGGGUGAGAAUCCCGUCAGCCCCUCCA